RNAcentral lists this ribosomal RNA (253 nucleotides) under uncultured prokaryote. Its description in RNAcentral is "partial 16S ribosomal RNA". It matches the Rfam family "Bacterial small subunit ribosomal RNA", at positions 525 to 777 of the family's 1533-position model. The record is from RNAcentral.
ACGAAGGGGGCUAGCGUUGCUCGGAAUCACUGGGCGUAAAGGGCGCGUAGGCGGACUCUUAAGUCGGGGGUGAAAGCCCAGGGCUCAACCCUGGAAUUGCCUUCGAUACUGAGAGUCUUGAGUUCGGAAGAGGUUGGUGGAACUGCGAGUGUAGAGGUGAAAUUCGUAGAUAUUCGCAAGAACACCAGUGGCGAAGGCGGCCAACUGGUCCGAUACUGACGCUGAGGCGCGAAAGCUAGGGGAGCAAACGGGA